GACGAGGGGUCCUAGCGUUGUUCGGAAUCACUGGGCGUAAAGAGUUCGUAGGCGGCUCCAAAAGUCGGGUGUGAAAUCCCACGGCUCAACCGUGGAAGUGCAUUCGAAACUGCGGAGCUUGAAUAUGGAAGAGGAGAGUAGAAUUGCUGGUGUAGUGGUGAAAUACGUAGAUAUCAGCAGGAAUACCGGUGGCGAAGGCGGCUCUCUGGUCCAAUAUUGACGCUGAGGAACGAAAGUGCGGGGAUCAAACAGG
RNAcentral lists this ribosomal RNA (253 nucleotides) under uncultured bacterium. Its description in RNAcentral is "partial 16S ribosomal RNA". It matches the Rfam family "Bacterial small subunit ribosomal RNA", at positions 524 to 776 of the family's 1533-position model. The record is from RNAcentral.